UUGGCUCAGAAGCAGCCACCAUUUAAAGAGUGCGUAAUAGCUCACUGGUCGAGAGACGCUGCGCCGAAAAUGUCCGGGGCUCAAGCACGGAACCGAAGCUAUGGCAUGAUAGCAAUAUCAUGGGUAGGGGAGCGUUCUUAUAAGGAAGAAGCAUGACCGGAAGGACAUGUGGACGAAUAAGAAGUGAGAAUGCCGGUAUGAGUAUCGAAAAGAAAGGUGAGAAUCCUUUCCACCGAAAGCCCGAGGGUUCCUGAGCAACGAUCGUCGACUCAGGGUAAGUCGGGACCUAAGCCGAGGCGAGAAGCGUAGGCGAUGGACAACAGGUUGAAAUUCCUGUACCGGAUCAAGUCGAUCGAGCGAAGGAGCGACGCAGGAGGGCACAUGAUCGCGCGGCUGGAAGAGCGCGUCCAAGUGCGUAUGUUGCAGCAGAGGAAAACCCCUGCGGCUGAAAGCAGAGACAUGAUGGGGAGUUAAAGGAAACUUUGACGAACUCAUGAAUCCCACACUGCCAAGAAAAACUUCUAGCGAGACAAGAUCCGCCCGUACCGUAAACCGACACAGGUAGGCGGGGAGAGAAUCCUAAGGUGCGCGGGAAAACCCUCGUUAAGGAACUCGGCAAAUUGCAUCCGUAACUUCGGGAGAAGGAUGGCCCCCGGUCAGUGAAGAGCAGAAACGCUCAGAGCUAAAAGGGGCGGCAGAAAAGAGGCCCAAGCAACUGUUUACCAAAAACACAGGUGCCUGCGAAAGCGAAAGCUGAAGUAUAGGUGCUGACGCCUGCCCGGUGCCGGAAGGUUAAGGAGAGAGGUUAGCGAAAGCGAAGCUUUGAACUGAAGCCCCGGUGAACGGCGGCCGUAACUAUAACGGUCCUAAGGUAGCGAAAUUCCUUGUCGGGUAAGUUCCGACCCGCACGAAAGGCGUAACGAUUUGGGCACUGUCUCAACGAGGGACCCGGUGAAAUUGAAAUACCUGUGAAGAUGCAGGUUACCCGCGACUGGACAGAAAGACCCCAUGGAGCUUCACUGCAGCUUGAGAUUGAAUCCCGGUGACAGAUGCACAGGAUAGGUGGGAGGCGUCGAAGCAUUGCCCUAGGGCGGUGCGGAGCCGAUGUUGGGAUACCACCCUUCUGUUGCUGAGAUUCUAACGCGAGGAGUAACGACCCUGCGGACCCUCUCAGGCAGGCGGUUUGACUGGGGCGGUCGCCUCCGAAAGAGUAACGGAGGCGCCCAAAGGUUCCCUCAGGCCGGACAGAAACCGGCCGAAGAGUGCAAAGGCAGAAGGGAGCUUGACUGCGAGACCAACAAGUCGAGCAGGGACGAAAGUCGGGCUUAGUGAUCCGGUGGUACUGGGUGGAAAGGCCAUCGCUCAACGGAUAAAAGCUACCCUGGGGAUAACAGGCUAAUCUCUCCCAAGAGUCCAUAUCGACGGGGAGGUUUGGCACCUCGAUGUCGGCUCAUCACAUCCUGGGGCUGUAGUAGGUCCCAAGGGUUGGGCUGUUCGCCCAUUAAAGUGGUACGCGAGCUGGGUUCAAAACGUCGUGAGACAGUUUGGUUCAUAUCCAUCGCGGGCGCAAGAAGUUUGAGAGGAGCUGCUCCUAGUACGAGAGGACCGGAGUGGACGGAUCAACGGUGUCCCAGUUGUCACGCCAGUGGCACGGCUGGAAAGCCGCAUCCGGGAAGGAUAAACGCUGAAAGCAUCUAAGCGUGAAGCCAACCUCAAGAUGAGACUUCUCAUCAGCAAUGAGUAAGACCCCUUACAGACGAUGAGGUAGAUAGGUUAUGAGUGGAAGAGCCGCAAGGCUUGGAGCGACAUAAAACUAAUAGGUCGAGGUCUUAACUUA
Molecule: ribosomal RNA, 1837 nt
Filed under: human oral metagenome
Description: bacterial LSU rRNA
Rfam family: Bacterial large subunit ribosomal RNA
Source: RNAcentral